Molecule: ribosomal RNA, 478 nt
Filed under: uncultured bacterium
Lineage: Bacteria
Description: partial 16S ribosomal RNA
Rfam family: Bacterial small subunit ribosomal RNA
Source: RNAcentral
GACGAACGCUGGCGGCGUGCUUAACACAUGCAAGUCGAACGGUAAGGCCCUUCGGGGUACACGAGUGGCGAACGGGUGAGUAACACGUGGGUGAUCUGCCCUGCACUUCGGGAUAAGCCUGGGAAACUGGGUCUAAUACCGGAUAGGACUCCUGCCUGCAUGGGUGGGGGUGGAAAGCUUUUGCGGUGUGGGAUGGGCCCGCGGCCUAUCAGCUUGUUGGUGGGGUGAUGGCCUACCAAGGCGACGACGGGUAGCCGGCCUGAGAGGGUGACCGGCCACACUGGGACUGAGAUACGGCCCAGACUCCUACGGGAGGCAGCAGUGGGGAAUAUUGCACAAUGGGCGCAAGCCUGAUGCAGCAACGCCGCGUGAGGGAUGACGGCCUUCGGGUUGUAAACCUCUUUUAGCAGGGAAGAAGCGAAAGUGACGGUACCUGCAGAAAAAGCACCGGCUAACUACGUGCCAGCCGCCGCUGUAA